This is a long non-coding RNA of Podarcis raffonei (Aeolian wall lizard), 813 nucleotides long. RefSeq lists it as uncharacterized. Lineage: Eukaryota; Metazoa; Chordata; Lepidosauria; Squamata; Lacertidae. The record is from RefSeq and is a predicted model, not a curated record. The transcript has 3 exons.
UGUAUAAAAAUUCUGCAUCGUGAAAUCUUGUUACAACCCUAAUUGUUAAAAAAUAAAAUUAGUGGUGCCUCAAAUAUCCAUUAUGUGCUCUGCCAAAAAAGAGCACAGCAUCAUUAACUAAAACUGAAAAUGUCAUCUGAAGGAUCUGCGCAUAUAUAUUAUUUCAAAUGCAUCUUCUUAGCUUCUAGCUGUGUGUAAACUAAAACAAUUUUCAACCAAAUUUCUUCACAAAUCAUGUAAAUCUUAUUAUCUAAUUUCUUUUGAAAUUAUCACUUAGACUAUUUAUGUUGUUUUAGGUACUGCCAACACCACUAAAAUAAAAAACAGAAAUGUCUGCAAUGCUUAACACAAAAUUAAUUAGAAAAAGAGAGUGAGAGAGCAACAGAGGAUCCACUGGAGUCAAUGGAAAGAAUUCAAGUCACCUACAAAGGACUUUGGAUCAAGCUUUUAAUCACAGUUCUAAUCCUGCUGUCAGCUGUAGCAAGUGAUAAACGCUUCGCUAAUGUUAUCUAGGUAUCCCUCCACCAAGUGCACGACAAGGACUUUCCCGUUCCCAGUACAAUGCAGACUAUGGGCAAGGACUACAGCAAUAAAGCAGCAGCAACCAGCAUACAUUCAGCUGAUGCUAUGUCCAGAUGAAAGCAGUUCAGAUGAAGGGAAGCAGUCAAGCUGUUUGAACAGUACAGAUAUGUACCUACACAAGGGCACAUUGUGUUCACAAUGACAUUUUGUUGCAUAGAGUGUUACCAGUUUGUUGUCACUAUGCUCUUUAACUCUGUAAAGAGGAGGAAAUCCCUCCAAUAUAGUCAAUAA